Ornithorhynchus anatinus (platypus) is the source of this 942-nucleotide long non-coding RNA. RefSeq lists it as uncharacterized. NCBI's taxonomy places the organism in Eukaryota, Metazoa, Chordata, Mammalia, Monotremata, Ornithorhynchidae. The record is from RefSeq and is a predicted model, not a curated record. The transcript is spliced from 2 exons.
AAGCAGCGAAACCAGAAUUAGUACCCAGGUCCUUCUGACUCCCAGGCCCACUCAUUCCAGUGACGAGAAACAUGGCGGAGGUCAGUGUGAGGAGGAUGGAGGAGGAGAAGGGAGAGUCACGGAAGUCCGAGUGAAAGUGGCGACUGACUCUGUCCUGAUCAUGACCCGGCAGCAGCUUCCCCUGGCUCCUCUCCUUGGCCCGGCUCCCGAAAACACAGAACUGCUGGUUUAUUCAUCGACGAGAGAGGAGGCAGAUGGGAUCCGCGGCAGCGUCGAAAACACAAGGGCCUUGGCUGGUCGUCAUGGCAACUGCAGGCUGGAGGGGUUCAGGCCCACCUCCUUCAGGAAGCUUUCCCCGAUUCACCCCACCAGCCCGGAAGGUGAGAUAAAGCACUCCAGGCAGCCGUGUAUCUCUACGGGUGUGAACCGUCCUGAUGAAGGCCCCAGUCAGUGGAAUGAAUCGAUCCCCAGUGUGGUCUGAUCUCCCCCCAGCCUGAAUCCCUGGAGGUUCGAGAUAAAGUCGGACUGAAGAGGAAGAGGGCUGUGAAAUCAGGAUCCUCUCCACUCAUCGGGGAGAAGAGCCUCAAGUGUUCCCUCUGGCAGGGAGGGGAUAGGCCAGAGCUGGAUUUUGAGGGUGCCGGACCCCACUUUUCUCUGGGGCAGAAGCUGGUCACGGUCAAACACUGAGGUCACCAGUCCUGGGCAUAUGUUAUCGCUGUUCUCUUUGUCUACACAAUUUAUAAUAGGAAUCGCUGCUUACUAAUUAGCAGCCGGAUCCAUUAAUUGGCUAUUUGUUAGAGUCUGAAUUAAUAAAGCAGUCUUUCAGCAGGUCAUAACUCUCCCCCAUUCCCACUCCUUCCCAGCCGUCCAGAAAAGUGACUAGCUCUGGCAGUGAAUCAAUACCUGCCACUGUAUCAUUUUCAAAUACAAUUUCCCCAUGUA